UACGAAGGGGGCUAGCGUUGUUCGGAAUUACUGGGCGUAAAGGGCGCGUAGGCGGUGUGUCAAGUCAGGCGUGAAAGCCCCGGGCUCAACCUGGGAACAGCGCUUGAGACUGGCACGCUCGAGUUCGGGAGAGGAUGGUGGAAUUCCCAGUGUAGAGGUGAAAUUCGUAGAUAUUGGGAAGAACACCGAUGGCGAAGUCAGCCAUCUGGACCGACACUGACGCUGAGGCGCGAAAGCGUGGGGAGCAAACAGG
Molecule: ribosomal RNA, 253 nt
Filed under: uncultured bacterium
Lineage: Bacteria
Description: partial 16S ribosomal RNA
Rfam family: Bacterial small subunit ribosomal RNA
Source: RNAcentral